RNAcentral lists this ribosomal RNA (639 nucleotides) under Phyllosticta ligustricola. Its description in RNAcentral is "eukaryotic LSU rRNA". It matches the Rfam family "Eukaryotic large subunit ribosomal RNA", at positions 1 to 654 of the family's 3401-position model. The record is from RNAcentral. Lineage: Eukaryota; Fungi; Ascomycota; Dothideomycetes; Botryosphaeriales; Phyllostictaceae.
UUGACCUCGGAUCAGGUAGGGAUACCCGCUGAACUUAAGCAUAUCAAUAAGCGGAGGAAAAGAAACCAACAGGGAUUGCCUUAGUAACGGCGAGUGAAGCGGCAAUAGCUCAAAUUUGAAAGCUGGCGUCUUCGACGUCCGCGUUGUAAUUUGUAGAGGAUGCUUCGGCGAGGACUCCUGCCUAAGUCCCCUGGAACGGGGCGUCACAGAGGGUGAGAAUCCCGUACGUGGCGGGCGGUCCAAGCCAUGUGAAGCUCCUUCGACGAGUCGAGUUGUUUGGGAAUGCAGCUCUAAAUGGGAGGUAAAUUUCUUCUAAAGCUAAAUAUUGGCCAGAGACCGAUAGCGCACAAGUAGAGUGAUCGAAAGAUGAAAAGCACUUUGGAAAGAGAGUUAAAAAGUACGUGAAAUUGUUGAAAGGGAAGCGCUUGCAACCAGACUCGCUCGCAGUUGCUCAUCCGGCCUCUUGGCCGGUGCACUCUUCUGCGAUCGGGCCAGCAUCAGUUCGGGCGGCUGGAUAAAGGUGUCGGGAAUGUAGCACCCUUCGGGGUGUGUUAUAGCCCGGCGCGGAAUGCGGCCAGCCUGGACUGAGGAUCUCGCUUCGGCAAGGAUGCUGGCGUAAUGGUUGUAAGCGGCCCGUCU